GGUUUGGCAUAAAAUUUAGUGUUAAAUAUAUCACGAAGGAAUCGGUUUUUGUUCCUAUGUUCAAUUAUAAGAAAAAUUAUGCAUAGUUAAUUGUAAUAAAAUAUAGAUUGAGACGAACUUUAUGCAUUGUUCAAUUUAAAAAAAGUAUAUUUACUGCCGUGUCAUUAAGUUAAAAAAAAAUUAAACUUAAUGUAAGAUACCUUUUUCUUUCGUUUCUUAGAAAGACAACAUUUGCACAGUUUUCAUAUAGCAAAAAUGUGAAAUCUUACCUGCAGAAAGCGUGCUUUGCAGUCUUCAGAGCUCCACUUAAACGGCUACUCCGACUGUGGACUGAAUGACGUCACAUGCCCUGCAAAAGUUUGAGAGCUGCAGUGCAGGUGCGCGGGGGGAGGGUCACUGAUGGAGGAGCAGAGAGAGCCAAAGUUUUCUCCUCAGCUCUGACUCUCAAACCUGAUUUACAGGCUACAAUAUGUGAAAUAAAGGAAUCCUGACAUUUAUUUUAACUACAGUUUAGUACACAUUAUGAAAUCACAAAAUAAAAUUUAUCUAAAGUAAGAUUUAGUUUUACAGUCUAAUUAAACUUUAUAUAUAUCAGUAGUGGAAAGAGCCAUUACCAUAUUAUUUAUUUAUUUUACACACACACUAAACAGCUAUAUUAGGUACACUUUGCUAGUCCUGGUUUGGACUCUCUUUUGCCUUCAGACCUGCCAAAGUGCAGGGCAUCAGUUAAGUUGGGAGCAGAGUGAGCUACAAUUCUCUGCUCAGCUCUCACUCAGGCUCAGGCUUAGUGUACUGGCCAGAACACAUGAAACAAAGGAACCCUGACAUGUUUUACUACAAUUUAGUACACAUUAUAAAAGCACAUACCAAGAUUUAUAUAAAGUAAGAUUUAACUUUACAGCCUAAUUUUACUUUAUAUACAUCAGUAGUGGAAAAGUACUUAGUAUUUAUCUAAAAGUAUUAUUACCAUAGGGAAAAGAAAUACAUAUAUAUACACACAGUGGACUCAUUGCGAGCCCUUCAGGAGGCGAAAUGAUGCAAUUUAAUGCAAAAUACGUAUUUCAUCUGCUAUGAUGGGAAAGCCAGAUAUUUCAUAGAUGAAACUUUGAAAUAUCUGGCUUUUGAUGAUGAUCAAACAUUAUUUUUUCUGCAUAUAGGGGAGAAGCAUGUUAGGAGUCGAAGAGAAGGACAGGCAGGAGCGUGGAGGUACUAUGACUGGCAAAGGGAGAGAGCUGGCUGAUAUGACUGGAGAGAAGGAAGGUAGAUUUACUGUGUGUGCAGGAGACCAGGUUGAAGGUUGGAUGUCAGUUAGAAGAGAAAGAGGAAUUCUGCAGUUAGUUUGAUAAAGUGGUAGAGAGUGUUGAUUGGAGCAGACUUCAGUAGCCAUGUAGGUGAAGGAAAGAGAGAUAAUGAGGUGUUAGAUAGGUAUAGUGUUAAGCAGAGAAAUGCACAAGGUCAA
This is a long non-coding RNA of Astatotilapia calliptera (eastern happy), 1459 nucleotides long. NCBI's taxonomy places the organism in Eukaryota, Metazoa, Chordata, Actinopteri, Cichliformes, Cichlidae. The record is from Ensembl.